Molecule: ribosomal RNA, 450 nt
Filed under: uncultured bacterium
Lineage: Bacteria
Description: bacterial SSU rRNA
Rfam family: Bacterial small subunit ribosomal RNA
Source: RNAcentral
GUGGGGAAUCUUCCGCAAUGGACGAAAGUCUGACGGAGCAACGCCGCGUGAGUGAAGAAGGUUUUCGAAUCGUAAAGCUCUGUUGUCAGGGACGAGCAGGGGGAGUAUCAACAACACUCUCUUAUGACGGUACCUGACGAGGAAGCCACGGCUAACUACGUGCCAGCAGCCGCGGUAAUACGUAGGUGGCGAGCGUUUUCCGGAAUUAUUGGGCGUAAAGGGAGCGCAGGUGGGAAAGUAAGUCUGCUUUAAAAGUGCGGGGCUCAACCCCGUGAGGGAGUGGAAACUAUUUUUCUUGAGUGCAGGAGAGGAAAGCGGAAUUCCUAGUGUAGCGGUGAAAUGCGUAGAUAUUAGGAGGAACACCAGUGGCGAAGGCGGCUUUCUGGACUGUAACUGACACUGAGGCUCGAAAGCCAGGGGAGCGAACGGGAUUAGAUACCCGAGUAGUCC